Molecule: ribosomal RNA, 1797 nt
Filed under: Vampyrellida sp. CAraX
Lineage: Eukaryota; Endomyxa; Vampyrellida
Description: SSU rRNA
Rfam family: Eukaryotic small subunit ribosomal RNA
Source: RNAcentral
GCCAGUWGUSAUAUGCUUGUCUHAAAGAUUAAGCCAUGCAAGUCUAAGUAUAAGCAUCAAUACUGUGAAACUGCAGAAGGCUCAUUAUAUCAGUUAUAGUUUAUUUGAUGGUACCCUGCUACAUGGAUAACUGUAGUAAUUCUAGAGCUAAUACAUGGUCGGAAUCUGCAUACUUUCGGGUGUGUGGUGGACUUAUUAGUUUUAUCUUUUGCCAACCUGGCCCCGGUCAGUUCUCUGGUGAAUCAUAAUAAUUUCUAGAUCGCAAUCGGCUUUACGGUCGGCGAUGGGUCAUUCAAAUUUCUGCCCUAUCAGCUAGACGUUAGUGUAGUGGACUAACGUGGCUUACACGGGUGACGGGGGAUUAGGGUCCGAUCCCGGAGAGGGAGCCUGAGAAACGGCUACCACUUCCAAGGAAGGCAGCAGGCGCGUAAAUUACCCAAUCCCAAUACGGGGAGGUAGUGACAAGAAAUACCAAUACUGGUCUAUAUAUUAGUCCGGUAAUUGGAAUGAGUACAACAUACAAUCCUUAACGAGGAUCUAUUGGAGGGCAAGUCUGGUGCCAGCAGCCGCGGUAAUACCAGCUCCAAUAGCGUAUAUUAACAUUGUUGCAGUUAAAAGGCUCGUAGUCGAAUGUAUGAUUACGUAGAACCCGGACCAUCCUCUAGUUAGGAUGUGUUCCGGUGUUCACGAAUCAUCCUUCUGGAGAGCACUUCUGCCCUUGAUUGGGUUGGUUGUGUGAUUCAGAUCAUUUACUGUGAACAAAUCAAUGUGUUCAAAGCAGGCUUUACGCUUGUAUGGUUCAGCAUGGAAUAAUAAGAUAGGACUUCGGUUUUGUUUUGUUGGCUAUACGAACCAAAGUAAUGAUUAAAAGGGAUAGUUGGGGGUGCUAGUAUUUAACGGUUAGCGGUGAAAUGCACGGACCCGUUAAAGACUAACUUAUGCGAAAGCAUUCACCAAGGAUAUCUUCUUUGAUCAAGAACGAAAGUUGGGGGAUCGAAGACGAUCAGGUACCGUCGUAGUCUCAACCAUAAACUAUGCCAACUCGGGAUUGGCGGUAGUUCAUACGACCCCGUCAGAACCGUAUGAGAAAUCAAAGUCUCUGGGUUCUGGGGGGAGUAUGGUCGCAAGGCUGAAACUUAAAGGAAUUGACGGAAGGGCACCACCAGGAGUGGAGCCUGCGGCUUAAUUUGACUCAACACGGGACAACUUACCAGGUCCAGACAUAAUAAGGAUUGACAGAUUGACGAUCUUUCUUGAUUUUAUGGAUGGUGGUGCAUGGCCGUUCUUAGUUGGUGGAGUGAUUUGUCUGGUUAAUUCCGUUAACGAACGAGACCUCAGCCUACUAAAUAGACUAUCUAAUGUUUACAUUGGUUAGACUUCUUAGAGGGACUAUGAGUUUUUAACUCAUGGAAGUAUGAGGCAAUAACAGGUCUGUGAUGCCCUUAGAUGUUCUGGGCCGCACGCGCGCUACACUGAUACAAUCAGCAAGUUCCUCCUUGGCUGAAAAGCUCGGGUAAUCUUGUGAAAUUGUAUCGUGUUCGGGCUUGACGGUUGCAAUUUUUCGUCACAAACGAGGAAUUCCUAGUAAGCGCAAGUCAUUAACUUGCAUUGAUUACGUCCCUGCCCUUUGUACACACCGCCCGUCGCUGCUACCGAUUGAAUGUUCCGGUGAACACUUUGGAGCCUUGGUUCUGGUUAGUUUACUAACCUUUACCUUGGCAAAGUUGUGUAAACCUUAACAUUUAGAGGAAGCAAAAGUCGUAACAAGGUUUCCGUAGGUGAACCUGCRGAHGGAUC